Molecule: ribosomal RNA, 394 nt
Filed under: uncultured bacterium
Lineage: Bacteria
Description: bacterial SSU rRNA
Rfam family: Bacterial small subunit ribosomal RNA
Source: RNAcentral
GUGUCAGCCGCCGCGGUAAUACGAAGGGGGCUAGCGUUGUUCGGAAUUACUGGGCGUAAAGGGCGCGCAGGCGGUCUUGGAAGUCAGAUGUGAAAGCCCCGGGCUCAACCUGGGAACUGCAUUUGAUACUCCGAGACUAGAGUUCGGGAGAGGAGAGUGGAAUUCCCAGUGUAGAGGUGAAAUUCGUAGAUAUUGGGAAGAACACCGGUGGCGAAGGCGGCUCUCUGGACCGAUACUGACGCUGAGGCGCGAAAGCGUGGGGAGCAAACAGGAUUAGAUACCCUGGUAGUCCACGCCGUAAACGAUGUGCGCUAGACGUUGGGAGGCCUAGCCUUCCGGUGUCGCAGCUAACGCGGUAAGCGCACCGCCUGGGGAGUACGGCCGCAAGGUUAAA